GACGAACCGUGCAAACGUUAUUCGGAAUCACUGGGCAUAAAGGGCGCGUAGGCGGCUCCAAAAGUCAGGGGUGAAAUCCGGCAGCUUAACGGUCGCAGUGCCUUUGAUACUGUGGAGCUAGAGGGAGGUAGGGGUCUGUGGAACUUCCGGUGGAGCGGUGAAAUGCGUUGAUAUCGGAAGGAACGCCGGUGGCGAAAGCGACGGACUGGAUCUCUUCUGACGCUGAGGCGCGAAAGCCAGGGGAGCAAACGGG
This 253-nucleotide ribosomal RNA is filed under the name uncultured bacterium. Its description in RNAcentral is "partial 16S ribosomal RNA". It matches the Rfam family "Bacterial small subunit ribosomal RNA", at positions 524 to 776 of the family's 1533-position model. The record is from RNAcentral.